AUACGUGGGGAGCAAGCGUUGUUCGGAUUUACUGGGCGUAAAGAGCACGUAGGCGGGUGUGUAAGUCGGUCGUGAAAUCCUCUGGCUCAACCAGAGAAUUGCGGCCGAAACUACUCAUCUUGAGUCUAUCAGAGGGAAUUGGAAUCCAGGGUGUAGCGGUGAAAUGCGUAGAGAUCCUGGAGAACACCAGUGGCGAAGGCGAAUUCCUGGGAUAGUACUGACGCUGAGACGCGAAAGCGUGGGGAGCAAACAGGAUUAGAAACCCCAGUAGUCC
Molecule: ribosomal RNA, 274 nt
Filed under: uncultured bacterium
Lineage: Bacteria
Description: partial 16S ribosomal RNA
Rfam family: Bacterial small subunit ribosomal RNA
Source: RNAcentral